Molecule: ribosomal RNA, 410 nt
Filed under: uncultured microorganism
Description: bacterial SSU rRNA
Rfam family: Bacterial small subunit ribosomal RNA
Source: RNAcentral
CAGCAGCCGCGGUAAUACGUAGGUGGCAAGCGUUGUCCGGAAUUAUUGGGCGUAAAGCGCGCGCAGGCGGUCCUUUAAGUCUGAUGUGAAAUCUUGCGGCUCAACCGCAAGCGGCCAUUGGAAACUGGGGGACUUGAGUGCAGGAGAGGGAAGUGGAAUUCCACGUGUAGCGGUGAAAUGCGUAGAGAUGUGGAGGAACACCAGUGGCGAAGGCGGCUUCCUGGCCUGUAACUGACGCUGAGGCGCGAAAGCGUGGGGAGCAAACAGGAUUAGAUACCCUGGUAGUCCACGCCGUAAACGAUGAGUGCUAAGUGUUAGGGGGUUUCCGCCCCUUAGUGCUGCAGCUAACGCAUUAAGCACUCCGCCUGGGGAGUACGGCCGCAAGGCUGAAACUUAAAGGAAUUGGCGGG